This 253-nucleotide ribosomal RNA is filed under the name uncultured bacterium. RNAcentral describes it as "partial 16S ribosomal RNA". It matches the Rfam family "Bacterial small subunit ribosomal RNA", at positions 524 to 776 of the family's 1533-position model. The record is from RNAcentral.
UACGGAGGGUGCAAGCGUUAAUCGGAAUUACUGGGCGUAAAGCGCACGUAGGUGGUUCGCUAAGUCAGCUGUGAAAUCCCCGGGCUCAACCUGGGACUUGCAGUUGAAACUGGUGAGCUAGAGUAGGGUAGAGGGGUGUGGAAUUCCAGGUGUAGCGGUGAAAUGCGUAGAUAUCUGGAGGAACAUCAGUGGCGAAGGCGACACCCUGGGCUCAUACUGACACUGAGGUGCGAAAGCGUGGGGAGCGAACAGG